GUUAGUUAGUUAGCCAGUAAGUUAGGGCCAGUCCGAGCCUGGGCAGAAGGGGGGUUGUUUGGCCCUUUCAGGCCUCCAUUAAAGUGAGCAGCCACCAUUUUGUGGCUGCUGUGCAUGCACAAAUACUUUCUGCGAGGCCGAAAUGGCGGCCGCUUGCUUUUACAGAGGCCCAAAACUGCCAAAAAGGCUUCACUUACCCGGCCGCAGCGGUGAUGAGGAAGGCCGGCGGGGGGAGAGGGAACCCGCACGGACCCCCCCCCCAGCUACAGCAAGCCCCCCGAAGGGGCUACAGGAUAUUAUCUGCCAUCUAGAUAUGAGUUUGCCAGAAUGAACAUUUGCCUCCUCCUCACCAUGGAUUCCAGAAAUCCUGAUCUAAGAGCAUUGAAGGGGAUGCUGUUUUUGUUUGGAUCUAAGGCCCAGUUUCAAAUCCUGAUUUAGUCAUGGAGUUCCAGGCUUAGCCAAGCUAUCUUGGGCAGGUGACAAACCUCCAUCGUCAUGUUGCAGUGAGGAUAACUGAGAUGCAGAAAGCAAGUAAUACAGAAAUAGAAGAAGGAACCAGCACGUAGAGGAAGGACAUUCCAGUGUCAAGAAGGAGUCAGUGAGAAAGGAUGCACUUAGGAAUCUACAGUGUCGUUCUAAGUUGAUAGAGGAAAAGGGUACCAGAGAGGCAAAAAGGGCAUGAAGUAAGUAGGAGAAAGUAGGAAAGAUGGGGGGAGUGGGGGGGGGGAGUGGACAAGAGAGUGACCUAGUUUAAAUGUUAACAAUAGAUGAUUAAAAUAGGCUGUGUCAAGAGAAAGUGAACCAAUGCAAAGAGCAGAAAAGGAGGUGUGAUGGAAGUUACCAAUAACCAUCAAUUAGAUCAGGUCAAAAAUGAAGGAAAGGUUUUAAGAGAGUAAACAAGAAGAAACCAAGGUGAGAGAGUGUAAUCAGUUUGAAGGGGGGUGGGAUUAAGUAGGCAAGUUUUGUUUCCAUCCAAAGAAAGAUAAAGGCAUAUUUUAUAGAUAUUACAGAGCUGAAGAUGUCAAGAUUUAGUAAUCAAUCUGCAUCCAGAACUUUCCUGCCAUAAUCCACCAUUUCUUGUCAUACUGACCAUGUUAUACCCCUCCUAAAAUUCCUUCACUGAUUUCCUAUCCACUUUCAAUCCAGGACAAGCUCCUCAUUCUUGUCUCCAAAGCCUUCCAUGGUCUUGCUCCUUCUUAUCUCUUGCUCUCAUAUCUUGUAUUUCAUUGUCAAUUGUUAAUUGUCCAUUUUUGGAGAAGGCCAGAUAUACAUGCCAAAAAUAAACACAUCAAUGCAUGACUGAAACAA
Molecule: long non-coding RNA, 1308 nt
Organism: Hemicordylus capensis (graceful crag lizard)
Lineage: Eukaryota; Metazoa; Chordata; Lepidosauria; Squamata; Cordylidae
Exons: 3
Source: RefSeq, a predicted model, not a curated record